CGGGGUUCGCGAUCGAAAGGGACAGUCCCCACUAACUGAGGAGGCCCCUUGGGCAAGAGAGAGGCCUCAUUCUCUUAUUUUCUCUCUUUCUCGCUGCUUCUCGUUCUCUUUUUGACGUUGGGGAGGAGGAAGAUGAAAUGGUUCGCUUGCUGGAGAAGAUGUCACAUUUAUCCCAUGGCAGGAAUUGAGACUGGGCAUGUAGGUCUAGCUUCUUCAUUUUGCCUUCUGGUCUGAUAUGGCAAACUCAUGCAGUUAUGAAGAGAUAUAUUCGAGUCCAUUCAAAAGGCUGCGGAGGUGGUACGACACGAGCAUCUGCAAUUCUGUUGACCCUGUGUUGCUAAGCAAUCUAUUAAUUGGUACAGAUGAUGGGGAGUAUGGUAGUGUUACAAAAGAUAUGAAUGAGCUUUCUGCUUGUGCUAUGAAGUUUAAAGACAGUCUAAGCUUAGCUCGCCAUUCAGCUUCCGUUCAUAGCACUCCUAGCCCUAGUAAAUUGGUGACAUCUCAAAAGCAAUUAGGUAUUCCUGUAGUGGUUCUCGAUUCUGAUGAAGAGGAAGGUUGUGAAAAUGUCAACAAAAUUAGGAGCAACUCGGUGUCUGAGCACAAACCCUAUAUGCCAGAUGUUCAACGUGUUGCUUCACUACAUGAAAAAUUUGAAUCACUAUUUCAACACAAUUUCAAUGAGUUUGGAAGUAAUCAAUGCAUCUCAAAUCCUGUAUCUGUUGAUGGGUGGAAAAGUGCCAAUAAUCUUGAAGCUCACGAAUUGGGGGUUUCCCUAGGCAACCUCGAGGGAAAGGUUAGAGAUGAAGCACUGAAAGCUUCAAAGGUUCAUACCGACACGCAAAAUGAUACCUUACUAAAGUUAGAUAAUGGUUUCAAAAGGGACAUUGUCCUCCAAGCUGAGCUUUUGGAAAAUCAUCAAAAUGACGUUGAAGAUAAUGAUAAUGCAGACAUUUGGAAUGAUAUGGACAUGGCAUUAGGAUCCUCAGUGACUUCUGUUCCUGAUGGUGGUCAAGUCCCUGAUAAUGGAGGGAAGACAUGUGAGCAUUCUCUUGUUAUGGAAGAUGAUUUGGGUCUAUAUUGCAAGUCAUGUGGAGUGGUUCUAAAAAGUAUUGAUAUGAUUUUUGAAUAUCAAUGGAAAAAGGUUUCAAAGAGUACAAAAACCUCCUCAUUCAGCUCUCAAUAUGUCUUUUCUACUUCAGAAGAACUUGACAAAAGGGAAUCGGAUCUGCUAUCCAAUCCUUCCAACUCUAUAGAGGAUCUCAGCCUGGCUGAACUUCCGAUACAUCCAAGGCAUGCCAAACAAAUGAGGGCACAUCAACUGGAGGGGUUCAGUUUCCUGCAGAAGAACCUACUGAUAGAUAAACCAGGAGGCUGUAUUCUUGCUCAUGCACCUGGUUCAGGGAAAACAAUGUUGGUCAUAAGUUUCAUCCAAAGUUUUUUGACAAAGUAUCCAAAUGCCAGGCCACUAAUUGUCCUGCCUAAAGGGAUCAUAGAGACAUGGAGAAAGGAAUUUCAAAAGUGGAGGAUUGAAGACAUACCCUUGUGUUCCUUGUACAAGGCUGAGAGUCGUUCUCGGCAGUUGCAUAUUUUGAAAAACUGGAAAGAUCAAAGGAGCAUCCUACUUUCAGGAUACAAACAAUUUUCAAGCAUCAUUUGUGAUGCGGACCCAAACAAACUUACAGCUGCCUGCCAGGAGAUACUCUUGAAAGUUCCUGGCCUGCUUAUUCUGGAUGAGGGACAUACUCCAAGGAAUGAGGAUACAGAUGUACUGCAUUCCCUUGCUAAAGUUCUAACACCACGCAAAGUGGUUCUUUCAGGCACUUUGUUUCAGAACCAUGUCAAGGAAGUGUUCAACAUCGUGAAACUUGUUAGACCAAAUUUUUUCAAGUUGGAGUCUUCUCGUGCUGUUGUACGACAUAUCUCAAGCAGGAUAAAGAUGGUAUUUGGUGGUAAAAGGAUUCAUAAGACUCAGACAGAGAGAUCAUUCUCUGACUUGGUCGAAGAGGCACUGCAGAGUGAUGACCCUAAACUGAAAGCCACUGUAAUACAAGAACUGAGAAAGCUUACUAAUGAUAUGCUUCACUAUUACAGGGGAGACUUUUUGGAUGAGCUUCCUGGGCUACUAGAUUUCACAGUAAUUUUAAAUUUAUCUCAAAAGCAAAAAGUAUCAGUUCAAGAGAUGGAAAAAGUGGAGGGUGGCAAGUUCAAGAGGAGUUUUUUAUCUAGUGCAAUCUACAUGCAUCCAUGUUUGAAAGAAGUCCAAAAUGCUGAUGUCAAAAAAAUUGAUGAACUUAUAAAGAAGAUGGAUGUGAAUGAUGGGAUUAAGACAAAGUUUUUCCUGAAUAUACUCUCUCUAACUGAAAAGUUUGGAGAAAAGCUACUAGUCUUUGGACAGUAUCUGCGUCCAUUACAAUUUUUAGAGAGGCUAGUCAUACUGAAAAAGGGUUGGAGUUUAGGGAAAGAAAUUUUUGAGAUUUCAGGCGACUCUAAGCCUGUUGAAAGAGCUAUAGCCGAAGAACAAUUCAACGAGUCACCAAACGCAAAAGUUUUGUUUGGUUCUAUUAAAGCAUGUGGUGAAGGGAUAUCUCUAGUUGGAGCUUCUCGUGUAUUAUUUUUGGAUGUCCAUUUGAAUCCUUCUGUCACACGUCAAGCAGUUGGACGUGCUUUCCGACCUGGACAGAACAAGAAGGUUUAUGUUUAUAGAAUGGUUGCUGCUGAUUCCCCGGAAGAGGAAGACCAUAUUACUUCCUUUAGAAAGGAGUUGAUAUCUAAAGUGUGGUUUGAGUGGACUGAGCAGUGCGCCCCUCAGGCAUUCCAGAUGGUUGAGAUUGACAUAUCUGAUAGUGACGAUACAUUCCUAGAAAGCCCUCUAUUGAAGCAUGAUAUUAAAACCCUAUAUAGAAGGUGAGAUACCUGAUUUUGCGGAUACAGAAAGUGUCCAAACUAUGAACUGUCAAAUCUUGCAGCAAUGGAACCUUUUUUGUUUAAGGUACAUCUUUGUUCUUAAGGUUUCCAUCCUCUGGCCACAACCCUUACAGUGCAGCUAUAAUUGGAGCAUUCAGAGCCUUGGGGGCUUUGGUGAUGCUUAAUGUUGAUAAUGCUGUCUCAUUACAGAUACAGAUUGAUGUAACUCGUUAAGUUUUCCAGUUAUUUCUGGAAUUGGUCCAACUCAGUCUCUGUCAUUCUGUGGAUUUAACUUGUUUAUGUGCUGGAAGAAAGUGAUAAGGUAAAAAAAAAUGAUUUCCUCUCAAUUGCUCGACCGUUCUUGCGUUUGAAGUGUUAAAUGAUUUGUUCAAGUCCAUGUGAUGUACCACUGCUACGACUAUCACCACAUUCAUGACCACUGGCCUUGAUACUGCUACUCCCAUUACCUUCCCCACCACUAUUAUACUACUGGUGCUCCUGUUACUACCACCACUAAUACCACCUGCUUCUACAACUACUAAUAGCACCAGUUCGUCACCACCACCGUUACUGCCACCAUGUUCUUCCAGUAACUGCAGGAUCACCAAAUCUAUUGUCUGACCAACCCACUGCAUCUAGCUUUCCUAUCACCCGAUUGCAAUUAUUACCACAAGAACCUUCAUCAGUGACUAGUUCAAUUUUGUAGAUUUGCGUCAAAGUUGCAUCUUUCUUUUUUUUGUGGGUAUAUUUAUGAUUUGGAAAAACAUUACGCCGGCGGAAACCAAUUUUCAGGUUGGUGGCAGAUAUUCUUUUUGGGCAUGCAACUUGCAGCUUCUCUUCAUGUGAAUCUGACAUGUGCUGUUAAUUUUGUCUUUCAUAUUUCAAAUUCUGGGGGAACCUACCCAUACUCACUGUAAGCUUUGUUGGACUCAUAUUCCGUUUCAGCUAUUGUACUUUAAGCUAUGUGGUCAUUUCACGCAUGGGUAUGCAAUGUUUUCGGUCUUGUUUCCAAAUUAAUGUUUAAGUACUUUCCUAAAUAUACAUUUUCUGCAGCUAUUUUACCUCAAGGCGCUUUGAGGAAUCUUCUCCAUGCAUGAAGACAAAUGAUGGACCAGAUCUUUGUUGCUGGAUAAGAAACAUCUUGUGAAUUUUAGCAAAAGAAAGGCCGGAACCAAGUCAAUACACUAAAAAAGUUGGGUUCGGAGGGGGAGGGAGCAUGAGUGGAAGCACGCUAUUUAUCAGAUGGAUCCAAUAAACUCCACCAAUUUAACUGGGUUCGCUUGAGCCCUUUUCGUCUGUCCAUGUACAAUUCUUCUAUGCUGGAACAUGGUGCAUGAGUUCGGUGCAGUACACGCUUAUUGGCAAGGCCAGGCACAUGCACCAGUUAUGGGAUCGAGACCACUUGUAACCCUUAACCCUCUCUAGGUGGAUUGUUGAAGCCUCCACCAUGGUUGGGCCGUGCCCGCCCGUCAUCUCCUGGCGUCACACAACUUAUAACCAACAGCCUAUGACCACUAAAUGCAGCAGAAAUCUUUCACAGCGGAUAUUCCUAUCUGACUGGCCGAUUUUGCCCUGAAUCUGGUGUUGGCGUGGUGGCUGCUUUCAUCCUUCUGUCAUGUCAGAACCCCUUUCUAUCUUGAGCACGAUGCCGUUUUUUCUUCUGAUCGACUGAUUGCACCUGAUUAGGUGGGGAUUUUUAGGAGGAGUUUGGUAUUAGUAACACUGCGAUUUUUAAAAUGCAAUAUUUUGUGCAUGUGUCAAAAUACAAUAUUUCAUGAAUGUAGCCCAAUCUUGGUGAUACAUGCAUAGAAU
Nymphaea colorata (pocket water lily) is the source of this 4716-nucleotide RNA transcript. It is a transcript of the gene named protein CHROMATIN REMODELING 35-like, with no coding region annotated. The transcript has 10 exons. NCBI's taxonomy places the organism in Eukaryota, Viridiplantae, Streptophyta, Magnoliopsida, Nymphaeales, Nymphaeaceae. The record is from RefSeq and is a predicted model, not a curated record.